UUGAACGCUGGCGGCAUGCUUUACACAUGCAAGUCGAACGGUAACAGGCCUUCGGGUGCUGACGAGUGGCGAACGGGUGAGUAAUGCAUCGGAACGUACCCAGAGGUGGGGGAUAACGCAGCGAAAGCUGUGCUAAUACCGCAUGUGAUCUGAGGAUGAAAGCGGGGGACCGAGCAGCAAUGUUUGGCCUCGCGCCUUUGGAGCGGCCGAUGUCGGAUUAGCUAGUUGGUGGGGUAAAGGCCUACCAAGGCGACGAUCCGUAGCUGGUCUGAGAGGACGACCAGCCACACUGGGACUGAGACACGGCCCAGACUCCUACGGGAGGCAGCAGUGGGGAAUUUUGGACAAUGGGCGCAAGCCUGAUCCGGCAAUGCCGCGUGCGGGAAGAAGGCCUUCGGGUUGUAAACCGCUUUUGGCAGGAACGAAACGGUGUCCGCUAAUACCGGGCGCUAAUGACGGUACCUGCAGAAUAAGCACCGGCUAACUACGUG
This 491-nucleotide ribosomal RNA is filed under the name uncultured bacterium. RNAcentral's name for it is "partial 16S ribosomal RNA". It matches the Rfam family "Bacterial small subunit ribosomal RNA", at positions 29 to 507 of the family's 1533-position model. The record is from RNAcentral.